This 468-nucleotide ribosomal RNA is filed under the name uncultured bacterium. RNAcentral describes it as "partial 16S ribosomal RNA". It matches the Rfam family "Bacterial small subunit ribosomal RNA", at positions 28 to 507 of the family's 1533-position model. The record is from RNAcentral.
GACGAACGCUGGCGGCGUGCUUAAUACAUGCAAGUCGAGCGGACAGGCCCUGCUCUUGUGGCGUUCUCGAGUGGCGAAGACGUGAGUAUCACGUGAGUAACCCGCCCUUAACAUUGGGGUAAAUCCUGGAAACUGCGGCUAAAACCCGAUAGGAUAUCCUGCAGCACGGGGUGCGUUGGAAAAUUUCGGCGGUUGUGGAUGGACUGGCGGCUUAUCAGCUUGUUGGGGAGGUAGUGGCUUACCAAGGUUUUGACGGGUAGCCGGCCUGGGAGGGGGACCGGCCACAUUGGGACUGAGGUACGGCCCAGACUCCUACGGGAGGCAGCAGUGGGGAAUAUUGCGCAGUGGGCGGAAGCCUGAUGCAGCAACGCCGCGUGCGGGAUGACGGGCUUCGGGUUGUAAACCACUUUCGCCUGUGACGAAGCGUGAGUGACGGUAAUGGGUAAAGAAGCACCGGCUAACUACGUG